UUCUCAGCCGCCGCCAUGACGACUGCGUCCCCCUCGCACAUGCGCCAGAACUACCACCAGGACUCGGAGACCGCCAUCAACCGCCAGAUAACCUGGAGCUCUACGCCUCCGACGUCUACCUGUCCAUGUCUUACUACUUUGACCGCGAUGAUGUGGCUUUGAAGAACUUUGCCGGAUAUUUUCUUCACCAAUCUCAUGAGGAGAGGGAACAUGCUGAGAAACUGAUGAAGCUGCAGAACCAACGAGGUGGCUGAAUCUUCCUUCAGGAUAUCGAGAAACCAGACCGUGAUGAUCGGGAGAACGGGCUGAAUGCAAUGGAGUGUGCAUUACACUUGGAAAAGAGCGUGAAUCAGUCACUACUGGAACUGCACAAACUGGCCACUGAUAAAAAUGACUCCCAUUUGUGUGACUUCAUUGAGACUCAUUACCUGAAUGAGCAGGUGAAAUCCAUCAAAGAAUUGGGUGACCACGUAACCAACCUGCGCAAGAUGGGGGCUCCCGAAUCUGGCAUGGCAGAGUAUCUCUUUGACAAGCACACCUUGGGAAACAGUGAUAGUGAGAGCUAAGCCGUAGGCUGUCUUCCCAUAGCCACAAGGAUAGGAUGACUUCCCUGGUCACCAAGGCAGUGCAUGCAUGUUGGGGUUACCUUUACCUUUUCUGUAUGUUGUACCUAAACAUCUACUUAACUUCUUUCAUUUGUACCAUUCUUCAAAUAAAGUAAUUUGGUACCC
Non-coding RNA from Leptonychotes weddellii (Weddell seal), 731 nucleotides. The record is from RefSeq and is a predicted model, not a curated record. NCBI's taxonomy places the organism in Eukaryota, Metazoa, Chordata, Mammalia, Carnivora, Phocidae.